AAGAAGCUAGUUAAAAUAUAACAUAGGAUUGUCAAUCCUAAGUAACUCUGCUGAGUGCUUCUUA
Molecule: transfer RNA, 64 nt
Filed under: Glycera fallax
Lineage: Eukaryota; Metazoa; Annelida; Polychaeta; Phyllodocida; Glyceridae
Description: tRNA-Asp
Source: RNAcentral